GACAGAGGGUGCAAACGUUGUUCGGAAUUACUGGGCGUAAAGCGUGUGUAGGCGGCCAAGCAAGUCGGAUGUGAAAGCCCAGGGCUCAACCCUGGAAGUGCACUCGAUACUGCUAGGCUCGAGUCUCGUAGAGGUUGGUGGAAUUCUUGGUGUAGAGGUGAAAUUCGUAGAUAUCAAGAGGAACACCGGUGGCGAAGGCGGCCAACUGGACGAAGACUGACGCUCAGACACGAAAGCAUGGGGAGCAAACAGG
Molecule: ribosomal RNA, 253 nt
Filed under: uncultured bacterium
Lineage: Bacteria
Description: partial 16S ribosomal RNA
Rfam family: Bacterial small subunit ribosomal RNA
Source: RNAcentral